AUAGCUAGCGUUCAGGAAAAUCCACGCCUAUGACCCUCAUCUGGUACUGGCCAAUCGCCCUUAGUGGAUAACGGCCAUUUCCCCGAGGAUGAAGAAGAAGAAGACUUUUACGGAAUUUAAUAUGAAUCAGCAUCAAUAUCGUCAUCAAAUUGGGUUCCAGAAAGAAAAGUGUGGCUCAUCAUAAGAAAGGGGCUCACUCCUUGCAGGCCAUGGGAUUAACAACGUUGCUCAUCAGUGUGGCUCUGUUAGUAGCGGCGCUGUUUGUCAAUUCGUCGGCUGCGAACGAAUACUACAACGUCUACAGGAAGUUAUACUUGUUGGAGACACAAAAGCGCUACGACUGCCUGCAGUGCUUCGUUCGCCCUUGCCUGGAAGGCGAAAUAGAGGCCAAACCUAUGGAUUACGUGGAACAGUGCUGUAGGCCCUGUACAGAAGUGGGUCCAGGAGCGCAGUGCUCCGUAUACCGACAGCACAAGCCAGAGGUGUGCGACGUCAACCAUCGGUGUGACACAAGAACGCAGGUCUGCGUACCCCAGGAGGCGAACAGAGAAACGGAAUAUUUGAAGAUCCAGCGAGGGAAUGCCUCUAUGGCGUGAAGCAAGCAUCGAGUUGCCAUUGCUGAGUUGCAAGGAUGUAUAAUAAACGCCUUUAUUAUGCUCUGGG
This is a long non-coding RNA of Ornithodoros turicata, 663 nucleotides long. RefSeq lists it as uncharacterized. The record is from RefSeq and is a predicted model, not a curated record. The transcript is spliced from 2 exons. Lineage: Eukaryota; Metazoa; Arthropoda; Arachnida; Ixodida; Argasidae.